Molecule: non-coding RNA, 161 nt
Filed under: Lotharella globosa
Lineage: Eukaryota; Cercozoa; Chlorarachniophyceae
Source: RNAcentral
CAUAAAAUCCAUGCGAACAAGGUCCUCGCCUCGCUUCGAAAGCUUGAGGGCGGCAGCACCGCCGAAUCCACAUCGCCUGUCGAGAUUGGGGGGUUUCCCACUGGGCUGCCUCUAACGGACGUGGAGGUAAGGCGGAUGCAGCUAUUCGGAGAUCAUCACGA